Molecule: long non-coding RNA, 1349 nt
Organism: Gossypium arboreum
Lineage: Eukaryota; Viridiplantae; Streptophyta; Magnoliopsida; Malvales; Malvaceae
Exons: 5
Source: RefSeq, a predicted model, not a curated record
AAAAUCCCUUAUUAAUUUUAUCCCUAAAUUUUACCCAUUGAAACCCCUAAAAUUUCCCCCUAAAAUCAGUAUCCCCAAAAUGCAUCUAAAUUUUCCCCCAAAUCGAAAUCCUUCCAACAUUUCAAUGUCACCAUUCUGAUCCAUAAUCCUCAGCAUCUUUCUUACUGCAUUUCUUGCUUCUCUAAAUCUCCAUCUCUAAAUCUCCAUCCCUUUGAUUUUCCCCGAAUAGUAAGUCUAAGUUCAAAUCGAAGCAUUUGCAAUCUGUUCCCUUAUUCAUAGGUUAUGAUGACCUUCUAUUUUCAUACCUUCGUUUUUCCAACUAAUUUUUCCAUCAAAGCGAGAAGUAAUGGUGUUCGGAAGCUUCAAACAGAGGGGCACUCUUCUACCAAAAGCUCCCAAGGGUUGAGGAAGUAGGAUAGCUGUGUUGUUUGAUGAGCUUGCUGAUCUUCUUCACAAUGGCGCCUUGAGAGUAGCUGCCAUGAAUUCUCUGUUUUCAUUUAACAUGAAUUUAUAAAAUGGCAUAUAAGUGUUUGUUACUUUGUCUCUAUGUAUCGUUCUUUCUAGCAUUUUAACGAGUGUAGUAUGUUUCAUUAGUUUAAAAAAUCCGGUGUUUUACGAUCUGCCAUUUUUUUAUCUGUUUUAGAAACUUCUAUUUUUUGACUGGCGAUGGGAAAGAAAGGGAGUGGAUGGUUCUCGACGGUGAAGGAAGUGUUCAAAUAAUCUCGCAAAGACUUGCCAGACAAAAAAGCUGUAAAGCUACUGCUAAGGUUGGAUGCUGAGAAUCCGAAUUCACAUCGCUGUUUGGGGUUUGCAGAAAGUCGAAGUUUUGGAAGUUCAGGUCAGAUAGAAGGGAUUGUUGUGCUCACAGCUCGUUGAAGUGGGCUGCAUCCUGGUACUCGAUAUUUGGCCAGGGUCAUUAAUUCCUGUUUUAGCAUAGGUGGUGGCAGCCGAUACAAAUCUUGUCUUAAUCACUAGGGGCAUUGAGAAGACUACAAGGGCUUUAGUAUUUGAACUUAAGGCUAUUUCAAAAGAGGUUGAAGACAGUAAACUUGCUGAUGUUGCUGCUUUUAGUGCUGGGAACAACAAUGAAAUAGGAAAUAUGAUUGCUGAGGCCAUGAGUAAAGUUGGCCGAAAGGGUGUAAUUACCCUUGAGGCGGGAAACCAAAAUAAGGUAUCAAAUCUCCAUCGUAACAACGAUGAACCUGUUUGGAGUAGAAUGCUUAAUUUCGCUGUUGAUUAAUUAUUGAAAAAUCCUUAAGAUCCUGGUGAUAUAUAAGAUUUGCAUUUUGCAGUUUAGUGUAACAAAAUUUGAACAUCAUUUUUCAAUGAAACGAAGAAAGUUGUAUUUA